This 210-nucleotide ribosomal RNA is filed under the name Klebsiella pneumoniae. RNAcentral describes it as "partial 23S ribosomal RNA". It matches the Rfam family "Bacterial large subunit ribosomal RNA", at positions 147 to 392 of the family's 2925-position model. Lineage: Bacteria; Pseudomonadati; Pseudomonadota; Gammaproteobacteria; Enterobacterales; Enterobacteriaceae. The record is from RNAcentral.
ACUAUCGUUAACUGAAUACAUAGGUUAACGAGGCGAACCGGGGGAACUGAAACAUCUAAGUACCCCGAGGAAAAGAAAUCAACCGAGAUUCCCCCAGUAGCGGCGAGCGAACGGGGAGCAGCCCAGAGUCUGAAUCAGCUUGUGUGUUAGUGGAACGGUCUGGAAAGUCCGACGGUACAGGGUGAUAGUCCCGUACACCAAAAUGCACAG